GCUCAACGCACUGAGCCACCCAGGUGCCCCUAAUUUGUUUUAUUUUUAGACUAAGGCUUGAAUCAGAUCUAAGGAUAUUAAACGGGGUAGAUAGGGUGCUGCCUGUGAAUGUCACUUCUAAACAGCGGUAAUACACUCUCCUGUGUCUCAGUUUCUCCCAGCAAGGCCUAAGGCCGUCUAGGGGGCUCAGAGCACUGGACAAUCAGUCCUUAUGGAUGCGUCCCCGGAUAAACCAAUCAUGAAUUACCUUACGAGACAGGAAAUUCCUAUGGGAGAGCUAAAUCUCAAGGAAUUCCUCAGAUACUCCCGCUAGGCUUUCAGUCACCUGAAAGCACCAUUUGGCCAGAAGAAGCAAGUGUCCCUUCAUCUGAGCUGUGAUUCAGUCUCUCACUUUUCUAACCAGAACAUUUUAUUCGAGCCUUAUAUUAAUAACAUCAAUUAGUAUAAUGCUAAAUUAAGACAACCAACCCAUAAACUUCCCCCUCCAGGUUAUCCCCACUUAGAGAACAUUACCUGUAACCUUUGACCGCUCAAAUAACAAGCCCAUCAACUCAAAUUGAGGAGGUCUGGAGAGUGGGAGAACACACCACAUACACCUUCGAGGGGCCGCGAAGUCAGAGGUAUAAAGGGCCCGUGCUGGUACCCGCUGUGAUUUCCCGAGCACCCCCACGGUUUUCAGAAGGAGUAGGUGGUGCCUCACACACAGGUAUCAGUGUCAUUGCUGGGAGACUCGCAGCGUCCGGAGCCCACAGCCUUCGCGCGCACGGGAGAACACGGCGCUGGGCGUGGGGACAGGUCCGACGGCCGGCGAGCGGCAGAAAUAAACAUUUAAGAAAAAAAUCACCGGACUCCGCUCUGGGAAAGAAUGGAGGCCAAGAGAAAACUAAGUCCCUGCCCUUAAAGAGACGACACAACAGCCCAUGGAGAUUCAGCAUAGAAGUAGCAGUUGGAAAAACACCUGGGGCCUAUGGGAGGCAGAGUUCUUUGCUAAGCUCAGAGCAUGUCUGCAGGGACAGAACCCUGGAAGACCACCCCCCAGGGACAAAGGAGCCAGCAGGUGCCAUUUCUCUCCCCCAGCCCCCAGGAUAGACACAUGGAGACCUGCGGGAGCUAGUGCAGCAGUAACAGUCACUACCUAACUUACACCUCACCCUGCACUUUGGGGGAUCUGACCCCUCCAACCAGGCCUGCCCCAGCACUGUGGGUACCCUCCCCAGAGGACGGUCGAAAACCCUGCUAACACCACCUCUCCCCCAACUCGCAAAUGUGAUGGAUCCGCCUCUUCCAACCCAGCUGGCCUCAGUCCCCAUUCACAGAGGGCUGUGCAGAAAACCUUAGUAAAGCUGCACCUUGGGGAUCCACCCCUCCACUACCCUUGUGGCCAGAGUCCAUCCAAACCGGGGCCACAGGCAUGGCAGCAUGCAAGCAGCCCAAAUGAGCCACCGCCACUCCAGAGUGACUCCUGCUCCAGGGAGAGGAGAAGAGAGUCCUAUGUACCACUCUAGGUAUAGCCCCAGCAGUGGGCCGGGGGCAGAGAGCUGGUCUGGUCUGAUUGCAGGUCCCACCACCGACAAAAAGCUUCUCAGGUGACAACACAGGGAAAGUGCCCAACAGUUUCCUGCUACUGCAUCUCUGGCAAACACCUGGUCUGACUCCAUUCGUGCUCGAUGCAGUCGCAAGCUGCUUCACUAACACCACAGGGAUCCCAGAAGGAGUAGGGAGAGAAAAGAGGGAAGAAAAUUUAUUUGAAGAAAUAAUAGCUGCAGACUUCCUAAACGCAGGGAAGGAAAAAGAAAUCCAGAUCCAGGAGGCAAGAGAUCAGCCCCAAAAACUCAACCAAAGAGGUCCACAUCAAGACACAUGAUAAAUAAAACGGCAAGAGGUCACGAUAAGGAGAGUUUUAAAAGCAAGACGGUCAGCUGGGAAGAUGGCACAGGAGACGGACCUUACGCUAGCCACGCCCCACAUGAACAACUAGAGAACAUCCACAUCAGUGUAUAUAACCUGGAAGUUACCUGAAGACUGACAGAACAAACUCACAACUAAAGACCAAGAAGAGAGCACGCUGAAGAAGGCAGGAAGGGCAAGGAUGCGGUCUGAGAGAGAAACAGACCAGACCAUGGCUGUCCGUGGUGGGGAGGGAGCUGGUGGCAAGAUGAUGGGCAAAAACAGGCCUUCACACAGGGAGUCCACAAAAGAGAGGGCAAAUUCCCAUAACAUCUGCCUCUGAAAGUGAGAGGGGCCAAAUUUCUUGAGUUCUUAUAACCAGUGGGACUCACAUCCUGGAAUUUUAAAAAUUGGCGGGCUCAGUUCUGGGAGAGCCCAAAGGUAUUAAGACGAGUCCCCACCCUUAGCGUGACAAACAGCCCGUGCAGGUACAGCGUGGAACGAACAGUCUGAAAAAUGGCAGGGGCAGACAGGAGAGUGGUUUGCUCAACUCGGAACAUGGCAUGGAGAGACAGGGGUCGUAGGGAGACCCCUCCAGGAACAAAGGAGCUGGCAGGUGUCACUUAUCUCCCUCACCCCCAGCAUAAAAAGCAGCCACCUGAGGAACCAGCUCAGCUCCAACACUCUAAACAUGACUUCCUUCCACCAAGCCCCCACCCCUGCACGUGGUCAGAGCUGCCCUUUCUAGUCGUCCUCAGAUUAGUCUCUGCACCCAGGGCCUCAGCCCGCAGAAGAGCUGCACAAACCCUGCCAACACAUCUCCUGACAGUGCACUUUGUAGGACCUCAGUUCCGGCAGCGACCAGGGCAGGUCACCUUUCACAAGUGACCUUUCACACCCCUUAUUAAAACACACCCCACUCCCACUAGGGACUAAACACUGCACAGAAGAGGCAAAGAGAAGCUCUGCAGACAACUGGCUCAUGGAAAAACAGGCCAAGAUUCAAAAGCAGAACACACACGAGAGACAUAGAAAACACUCCCUGGAGCACCAGGCCUAGGAACAGGGGACACUGCAGGGCAGGGCACUACAGGACCUCUUCUUCACAAGGCUCUUAUCCUUAGGAGCAAGAGAAGUAGCUAACUUUCCUAUCACACAGAAACACAGAGAACUGGAAAAAAUGAGGAGAGAGAGAAAUACGUCCCGAACAAAAGAACAAGACCAAUCCACAGCAAGAGACUUAAGUGAAAUGGAUAUAAGUAAUAUGCCUGAUAGAGAUUUUAAUAAUCCUAAAGAUACUCACUGAACUUGAAAAAAAAAAAGUGGAGGACAUCAGUGAGACCCUUAACAGAAUGGCAAAAAAGAACCAAUUAGAGACCAAGAACACAAUUCAUGAAAUUAAAAAUACACUUGAAGGACAAAUAAUCCAGUGAAGAAAUGGGCAAGACACGAAUAGACACUUCUCCAAAGAAGAUAUCCAAAUAGCUAAUAGACACAUGGAAAAA
Molecule: long non-coding RNA, 3392 nt
Organism: Felis catus (domestic cat)
Lineage: Eukaryota; Metazoa; Chordata; Mammalia; Carnivora; Felidae
Exons: 3
Source: RefSeq, a predicted model, not a curated record